RNAcentral lists this unclassified non-coding RNA (418 nucleotides) under Hevea brasiliensis (rubber tree). The record is from RNAcentral. Lineage: Eukaryota; Viridiplantae; Streptophyta; Magnoliopsida; Malpighiales; Euphorbiaceae.
GCAAUUUAUUUCACUAUUACCUUAACUUCAUUUGGUACGAGCUGCAAACCAAUCAAUAGUAGUGACAGUGCGAGAAGGCUGCAGAAGCGAAAAACUAAAGUUCAGUUUUUGGAUAUCGAAUUAGAUUUUGACAAUGGGAAGUAUUUUGCAUUACUGAGAUUAUCUCGUGGACUAAGAGGGAUAUUGGAGGCUGCUGUUUUUACUUCUUACACCUUGGAGAAUAAUACCGAAUUUUCCUUGUUUUGUUUUCCUGCAAAUCAUAAGCUUGUUUCUAGGCAUGCCGGGGAAAAUAUUGCUUCCCUAGUGUCUCCAGAAUUAGGAUCUUAUCUUCCUCCCAGAUCAAUAAAAUCAUGGCUCAGCAAAUGCCACAAGGUGCACAUCACACUAUUGGAUGAGAGAGCUUCCAAAGCACCCUUGA